RNAcentral lists this ribosomal RNA (497 nucleotides) under uncultured bacterium. RNAcentral's name for it is "partial 16S ribosomal RNA". It matches the Rfam family "Bacterial small subunit ribosomal RNA", at positions 28 to 507 of the family's 1533-position model. The record is from RNAcentral.
GAUGAACGCUGGCGGCGUGCCUAAUACAUGCAAGUCGAGCGAACGGACGAGAAGCUUGCUUUUCUGAUGUUAGCGGCGGACGGGUGGGUAACACGUGGAUAACCUACCUAUAAGACUGGGAUAACUUCGGGAAACCGGAGCUAGUACCGGAUAAUAUUUUGAACCGCAUGGUUCAAAAGUGAAAGACGGUCUUGCUGUCACUUAUAGAUGGAUCCGCGCUGCAUUAGCUAGUUGGUAAGGUAACGGCUUACCAAGGCAACGAUGCAUAGCCGACCUGAGAGGGUGAUCGGCCACACUGGAACUGAGACACGGUCCAGACUCCUACGGGAGGCAGCAGUAGGGAAUCUUCCGCAAUGGGCGAAAGCCUGACGGAGCAACGCCGCGUGAGUGAUGAAGGUCUUCGGAUCGUAAAACUCUGUUAUUAGGGAAGAACAUAUGUGUAAGUAACUGUGCACAUCUUGACGGUACCUAAUCAGAAAGCCACGGCUAACUACGUG